ACUCAAAUGAAUUGACGGGGACCCGCACAAGCAGCGGAGCGUGUGGUUUAAUUCGAUGCUACACGAAGAACCUUACCCAGAUUUGACAUAUAGGUGGUAGUGAACCGAAAGGGGAGCGACCCGCAAGGGAGCCUAUACAGGUGUUGCAUGGCUGUCGUCAGCUCGUGUCGUGAGAUGUUGGUUUAAGUACCCUAACGAGCGCAACCCUUACUGCCAGUUACAAGUGUCUGGCGGGACUGCCGGCCACAAGCCGGAGGAAGGCGAGGAUGACGUCAAGUCAGCAUGGCCUUUAUAUCUGGGGCUACACACACGCUACAAUGGGCAUCAACAAUGGGUAGCCAAGCCGCGAGGCGGAGCCAAUCCUCAAAACUGCCCUCAGUUCAGAUUGCAGGCUGCAACUCGCCUGCAUGAAGUUGGAGUUGCUAGUAAACGCGCGUCAGCUAUAGUGCGUUGAAUACGUUCCCGGGUCUUGUACACACCGCCCGU
Molecule: ribosomal RNA, 486 nt
Filed under: uncultured bacterium
Lineage: Bacteria
Description: partial 16S ribosomal RNA
Rfam family: Bacterial small subunit ribosomal RNA
Source: RNAcentral